Molecule: long non-coding RNA, 4833 nt
Filed under: Citrus sinensis (sweet orange)
Lineage: Eukaryota; Viridiplantae; Streptophyta; Magnoliopsida; Sapindales; Rutaceae
Description: long non-coding RNA (CSIN_LNC005442)
Source: RNAcentral
AUAACUUAGAUACAAUUAUUCAAUAAAAUCCCUUUUUUGUAAUGCUCUUUGGGAUUAUCUAUCAAAAUCUCUCUUAUAGAGUCGUUUGUAUUAGAUCGUCUUUUAAUCUCGCUUUAUGCGUUAUUAAAAAUCUCAUUGAAUCGUUUGGUUAGAAUGAGAUCUAAUCACUCUUCAAAUAGGGUGUAACAUAAUCGUGUUGGCUUGGUUUAGUACUAGAACGAUAUCUAGGUUUCUUACCCUACCAAUUUCUACUUUCGCUCGCCUUGCUCCAUUAGUUGGUAUCAAAGCGGUUCUAUAUAACUUGCAUAGCUUUCCUGGAUACCCAUAGCCAUUUAUACCCCAAUCUAUAUCUUUAAACUCUCGCUCAUUGGGAUCAGCCAGAAGGUAUUUGAUUUUCUUGCGCUGGAGGUCUGAUUGGUAUCGAGUUUCUGACUAGUGAAAAUAUGCAUGUUGCAUAUUUUUCGAAGACUUUUCCACGGCCUUGAGACAGGCAUCCAGGCCAAACUGAAUUCAUAGUGCUGGUGGGACGACAUUGCACGAGGAACUGUUCGAUUACAGAAUGAUGAAUCAUGGUCCAGAAGGAUACUUUUGGCCAUGCUUGGAGAAGAAACCACUACUGUGGUCACCUGGCAAGUUUUAGGCUCAUUAUGGGGCCGUGAAUCUUGGCGAGCUCGGCCAGUGACUUGUGAGGCUUCUCACCCAGUUCCAGUAGGUUUCUGAUCACCGGAUAAGGCCUCGGUCCUGGUGGAAGCUGUUUACGACUUCCUCUGGAAAUGAAACUUAAAGUGUUCACCCAAACCAAUGUGAUUACAAGCCAUAGUAUGAAGCUAAUUAACAAUCUUUGAAAUCAAUAUUUUGAUUUCUCUUUAUUUGAAACUCUCAUCAACACAAUCCUUCACUUUCUUAUCUAGUACCUGGAACCUGCUUUCACUAAAUUUUUGUAAGACAUAACUAAUUAUGUUCAGGAUUCACGCGCCACUUUCUUAUUGGUCAUUUGAGUAACUUUGUCCAUGAAACUCUGAUUGAUGCAAAUCUGAUGUUUAUGAAAAUUCUUAAUUAAAUUCAUCUUUCAAAAAGGCAAUUUGGACUCUACACAUUACAGGUAAGUUGCAUACUUUUGGAAGAUUUUUUCAGUGUUGUUAAGACAGGCAGCCAAACCAAUCCGGAUCCACGUUGCUGGUGGGCAAUGAUUGCAUUGUAACCUUUCAAAUAUUCAAAUUACAGAAAGAUGAUCACGAUUUUAAAGGAUACUUUUUGGCCACCUCAUGUUCAAAAGACCAUGCAGGUUUCCAAAACGGCAUAAAAUUUACCACUGAAUGUUUGAAACGAGCAUUAUUGAACUGUUUUACUUUUGAAUCGAUGAAAAUAUAUUAGGGAAUAUUUGUAAAAUCAUUUAUUAUUGUGUCAUAUUCGUCCUACCCAUUUAACAAUAUUUCUGCUGUACGGCCAAGGCGGAUGUACGGUACAGCAGGAAUAAUUUUUUUUUAAAACCAGAGAGACCCAAAUCCUAAUCAACAAACGCAUACGAUGGUUUAUUUAAAUUAGAUUGUUUAUUCUCACAACACAACUCUCUGCUAUGUUAUUUGUCACAAACAUUAAAUUCUUCAUACGAUGAAUCCUUUAAUUGACAAUAUAUUAAGUUGAUAAUUAAAUAGUGGCCAAUUACCUAAUUAACAAACAUAAUCAUGAAAAUAAUUCAGAGAAUAAACAAAUACCCAAAAAGCAAUAAAACAAUUAAAGCAUAAGAAAGAUCUCACAGUAGUGAUGAAUCAAAGCUUCAUUAUCCUUCAACCAAAAAAAUAGGUUUAGUUCUUCAUAGAGAGAAGAGAAAAGUUUAGAUCUAGGGUUUCUUUCUUUUUCCAAUCUCCAAUCCCCCUUUUUCGCAAUAGAUUCCUCUCUUAAAUACUCUCUCUCUCUUCUCCUCUAGAAUUCUAUUUAAAAUAAAAUACUAAUAUCUGAAAUAUUAAAUUCGUAAUUACAAAAAUAAUCAAAAAUACAAAACAUGUUAAACUAAAAACUGCAGGUCCGUAGUUGACAGCACGCGCCCACGCCUUAUCAACAAAGUUCUUCUGACGCUCAUAAUUUCUCCAAGAGAACAAUCAUCUUUAAACAUCAUCUUAUAGCUCAAUUUUAUCACAAAUCAAUAGAAUUGCACCUACAAAAGUAAACCACAAGUAAAUCAUUAUUAUUAAGUGCAAAACAUCGAUAUUAAGGGAAGUAAACAAUGCAAAACUAGUGCAUAAAUUGCACUCUAACAACUAGAUAGUUGCCAAGAAGAAUGAUGAACAUAUACAGGUAUACAACCAAUGACAAAGCGCUUUAUGGCCUACAACCACCUGGAAAUUCUCUCCUCUGUGGAAGAAACAAAAUUAUGGUAUGGGACUAAGUGGCAACAGGCCUUUUAUAUGAUUAGGCCAAUUCUUUUUUUUUUUUUUCAUAUCGAUGUUCUUGUCUUCAAGCGUCCAAUCAAAAUAAUUAAUAACUGAACCCAAGAUAUAACAUUUUGAUAGCCAACGGUAAACCAGGAUAAAUUUGCCACCCAGCUCCAAAGGGGAUCAACUCAAAAUUUUUUCCUUUGAAAUCAAUAUCUGACCCUAAGAGCCUUUCGGGGGUAAAAUAGUGAGCGUUGUCCAAUAUACUUUCAUAUUUGACAGUAGCCCAAACAUUGACCAAAACUUUUGCACAUUUCAACACUAUGAAGCCCGCGAUUUCUCUAUCUUCUAAGGCUUUGGGGAAGUAAUAAGUGAAUUGCCAACUGUUUCUUCUAGCUCUAAUUUUACCUUAGAUAAAGCCUUUGGAUUUUGGGGAGGUUCCGCCAUUGCCCAUUCCAUUGUAACUGAAGUUGUGUUAGGCCCUGCAGCAAACAAAUCCUGUUUUAUAAACUUUGUUAAUUAAAUUGUAAUUUAUACUAGAAUUUAAGAAAAAGAAAAAGAGAAAGAAAGAGAAAUAUUACCAAAUACAAGUGCUUAAUAUGUUUUUUGCCAACGUGUAAUUUGUACUAGAAAUUAAGAAGAAAUAUUACUAGAAACAAGCUGAUGUAGGACUUUAAUUUAGGUUAACUUAGGACUUUAGAAUUUUUAUUAUUUUAGGGUUUUCUAUUUUAAUUGGAGUCUAUUAUGGUAUGUGAUUUAAUAUUUUUUUUUCUAUUAGAAUUUUUAUUUAAUUUCCCUUUUCCAGUUAACUUAGGGAAGUAGGUUUCCUAUAUUAUAAAGAGAGAGGUCUUAUAAUUAUUUUCAUAACUUAGAUACAAUUAUUCAAUAAAAUCCCUUUUUUGUAAUGCUCUUUGGGAUUAUCUAUCAAAAUCUCUCUUAUAGAGUCGUUUGUAUUAGAUCGUCAUUUAAUCUCGCUUUAUGCGUUAUUAAAAAUCUCAUUGAAUCGUUUGGUUAGAAUGAGAUCUAAUCACUCUUCAAAUAGGGCGUAACAUAAUCGUGUUGGCUUGGUUUAGUACUAGAACGAUAUCUAGGUUUCUUACCCUACCAAUUUCUACUUUCGCUCGCCUUGCUCCAUUAGUUGGUAUCAAAGCGGUUCUAUAUAACUUGCAUAGCUUUCCUGGAUACCCAUAGCCAUUUAUACCCCAAUCUAUAUCUUUAAACUCUCGCUCAUUGGGAUCAGCCAGAAGGUAUUUGAUUUUCUUGCGCUGGAGGUCUGAUUGGUAUCGAGUUUCUGACUAGUGAAAAUAUGCAUGUUGCAUAUUUUUCGAAGACUUUUCCACGGCCUUGAGACAGGCAUCCAGGCCAAACUGAAUUCAUAGUGCUGGUGGGACGACAUUGCACGAGGAACUGUUCGAUUACAGAAUGAUGAAUCAUGGUCCAGAAGGAUACUUUUGGCCAUGCUUGGAGAAGAAACCACUACUGUGGUCACCUGGCAAGUUUUAGGCUCAUUAUGGGGCCGUGAAUCUUGGCGAGCUCGGCCAGUGACUUGUGAGGCUUCUCACCCAGUUCCAGUAGGUUUCUGAUCACCGGAUAAGGCCUCGGUCCUGGUGGAAGCUGUUUACGACUUCCUCUGGAAAUGAAACUUAAAGUGUUCACCCAAACCAAUGUGAUUACAAGCCAUAGUAUGAAGCUAAUUAACAAUCUUUGAAAUCAAUAUUUUGAUUUCUCUUUAUUUGAAACUCUCAUCAACACAAUCCUUCACUUUCUUAUCUAGUACCUGGAACCUGCUUUCACUAAAUUUUUGUAAGACAUAACUAAUUAUGUUCAGGAUUCACGCGCCACUUUCUUAUUGGUCAUUUGAGUAACUUUGUCCAUGAAACUCUGAUUGAUGCAAAUCUGAUGUUUAUGAAAAUUCUUAAUUAAAUUCAUCUUUCAAAAAGGCAAUUUGGACUCUACACAUUACAGGUAAGUUGCAUACUUUUGGAAGAUUUUUUCAGUGUUGUUAAGACAGGCAGCCAAACCAAUCCGGAUCCACGUUGCUGGUGGGCAAUGAUUGCAUUGUAACCUUUCAAAUAUUCAAAUUACAGAAAGAUGAUCACGAUUUUAAAGGAUACUUUUUGGCCACCUCAUGUUCAAAAGACCAUGCAGGUUUCCAAAACGGCAUAAAAUUUACCACUGAAUGUUUGAAACGAGCAUUAUUGAACUGUUUUACUUUUGAAUCGAUGAAAAUAUAUUAGGGAAUAUUUGUAAAAUCAUUUAUUAUUGUGUCAUAUUCGUCCUACCCAUUUAACAAUAUUUUAGUUUAUUUUCUUCACAAGUCAUAUUUUUAACAUGCUUUAAUUUUAUUACAUUUCUUGAAAUUUUAUAGUACUACCUCUAGAAGUGUAUGAUUAUCUAUAGGUGGCAAUUUAGGUUGGCUAAAUUUUUUACACGUUUUCGUUAUAUCUUCUAGAAACUGUGU